RNAcentral lists this ribosomal RNA (460 nucleotides) under uncultured bacterium. RNAcentral describes it as "partial 16S ribosomal RNA". It matches the Rfam family "Bacterial small subunit ribosomal RNA", at positions 338 to 795 of the family's 1533-position model. The record is from RNAcentral.
CCUACGGGUGGCAGCAGUGAGGAAUAUUGGUCAAUGGGCGCGAGCCUGAACCAGCCAAGUAGCGUGAAGGAUGACUGCCCUACGGGUUGUAAACUUCUUUUAUAAAGGAAUAAAGUGAGGCACGUGUGCCUUUUUGUAUGUACUUUAUGAAUAAGGAUCGGCUAACUCCGUGCCAGCAGCCGCGGUAAUACGGAGGAUCCGAGCGUUAUCCGGAUUUAUUGGGUUUAAAGGGAGCGUAGAUGGGUUGUUAAGUCAGUUGUGAAAGUUUGCGGCUCAACCGUAAAAUUGCAAUUGAUACUGGCAGCCUUGAGUGGGCGAGAGGUAUGCGGAAUGCGUGGUGUAGCGGUGAAAUGCAUAGAUAUCACGCAGAACCCCGAUUGCGAAGGCAGCAUACCGGCGCCCUACUGACGCUGAGGCACGAAAGUGCGGGUAUCGAACAGGAUUAGAUACCCGAGUAGUC